AUUGAACGCUGGCGGCAUGCCUUACACAUGCAAGUCGAACGGUAACAGGUCUUCGGAUGCUGACGAGUGGCGAACGGGUGCGUAAUACAUCGGAACGUGCCCAGACGUGGGGGAUAACGAGGCGAAAGCUUUGCUAAUACCGCAUACGAUCUAAGGAUGAAAGCAGGGGACCGCAAGGCCUUGCGCGUUUGGAGCGGCCGAUGGCAGAUUAGGUAGUUGGUGGGAUAAAAGCUUACCAAGCCGACGAUCUGUAGCUGGUCUGAGAGGACGACCAGCCACACUGGGACUGAGACACGGCCCAGACUCCUACGGGAGGCAGCAGUGGGGAAUUUUGGACAAUGGGCGAAAGCCUGAUCCAGCAAUGCCGCGUGCAGGAUGAAGGCCUUCGGGUUGUAAACUGCUUUUGUACGGAACGAAAAGGCUCUGGCUAAUACCUGGGGCACAUGACGGUACCGUAAGAAUAAGCACCGGCUAACUACGUG
This 482-nucleotide ribosomal RNA is filed under the name uncultured bacterium. Its description in RNAcentral is "partial 16S ribosomal RNA". It matches the Rfam family "Bacterial small subunit ribosomal RNA", at positions 30 to 507 of the family's 1533-position model. The record is from RNAcentral.